GCACGCAAUUCUUGCACGGCUUUCGGUAGUUUGCUAUUACUGUUUUUUAUUUAACAAAAAUUAAUGGAUUCUUCUGAAGAAGAAGCCGAUUAUGAUAUUGUCGUCAAUAACAAUGAGGUACAACCUUACAUGUUUGAGCCUUUGGCCAACGCGGAAGGUGGUCAUAGUAAUGACAAUUCUUCGUCAUCGGAAAGCGAAGAUGAAUACAUUCACAGAAUUGGAAAUAUUGAAUGGUGCGAGUGUGGUUUUGUGUGGUCAUGAGUACAGGACGGGAAAGUAUAUGUUGCCAAGAGGUAAACAACACUGAUCCUCUGAUACAUGGCGAUCAUAUUUGCAUCACACAAGAGGAAGAGUUUGCCACAGUAUGUACAAACGAAGCUGUCUUAAAAACAGCUAUGGUCGUGUACACACAUGACAUUGGACCUAUGCCUGAGAGUGAAGAAAACGAAGCAUUACGCUACACGGCGUACCGACAGUGGACGGCUUGGGUGCAUGGCAAAAAAGUACCAACUACCCAUACCUUCUUGUGCUGUGGACAAAAUCCGGAAAGCAUUUCCUUCGCCUUCUGGAGAAUACAAAGGAUUUGAAUAUGCUUCAACACUACUGAAUGCGAGAUUUAUGUUGCUUAAUGGCUUCAGCUUUGCUGAUUUUUGAUUUGUGGUGAGUCAAUGGGACAGGUAUUUCUUUCACUCCAGCGACAUCAAGAGCUUUGGAGAGUGUUAGAUUAAUCCGUCUGCAGUACAAAACUUCUUUCAUCAAGUCCUUAACAUAUCCUGAAAAGCAAAUCAUUAUUUAUGUUGGCUUUGCAUUGCACUUUGAGAAAAGAUGCUACACUUGUGGGUUCCACAGAGUAUU
Molecule: long non-coding RNA, 855 nt
Organism: Xenia sp. Carnegie-2017
Lineage: Eukaryota; Metazoa; Cnidaria; Anthozoa; Malacalcyonacea; Xeniidae
Exons: 5
Source: RefSeq, a predicted model, not a curated record